This 1054-nucleotide unclassified non-coding RNA is filed under the name Leishmania donovani. RNAcentral describes it as "gene:unknown". The record is from RNAcentral. Lineage: Eukaryota; Euglenozoa; Kinetoplastea; Trypanosomatida; Trypanosomatidae.
GGCGCAUGGUGAUGCGCUGCGGAUAUCCGUACAGACACUCUGCAUCGCCGACAUCACCGGCCUCCUACCUCAUGUGUGAACCUUCGAAAGGCAGUUCGCAGAGGCACGCCCUCGCAUGGAGGCACAUCCCUUUUCACCUUCUUACGCUUUCACCGGUGCACGCCAACAACGCGCAUGCACAGCGCAACGCUCUCUCUCUUUGCUCCCCCGCAGCACUUACUCGUUCUGUUGAAUGUUCCUUUGCUCUUGAUCCGCUGACGGUGUGUGUGCUUGCGCGUGGCUUAUCAGCGAGUGGAUCCGCUUUUUCAUCCGUCUUUUACUGUGUCGCGUCCAUCUCACCCUUUGAUGACGGGAGGGGGCAAACACACCCCGGUGUGAGGUAUCCCGGAUCCACUAGUCUCCUUCACCCUCUGUGUGCAUUGGAAGAAGCCAAGCAGCCCCUCCUCCAUCCCCUGCCAAUGCAGCGCUGCAUCGCGACGGAUGUCGGCGGUGUGUCAGGUCCUGGAUGGCGUUGCGUCGGAGCGGCCUGCGGCAGUGCCGACGCGUCUGCGCGGCUCCAGCGCAUCCGUCACCCGGCCCUCACCACCGCCUGCUGGUGUGGGGAGCCUGAGCGCCACCCCCUCCCUCUCCGAGGAGGGAUGCCGCAGGUGGCGGCCGGCAUGAUGGGAGCGGCUGUGAGGCGGCCUGCGAGGCAGCGGGGGGGGGGCGGGAGGAGGUCGGUGGAGCUUGAGGCAGGGGGGCCGUGCUCUCGGAUGGCUGAGUCGGCGCGUUGCCGCAAAGCGUGUGUGCCGCGCUGCGUCGCAGGACUCGGUGAGGCCUGUGGCCGGCCAGAGGGCGUGUGUGUGUGUGUGGAGUGGCGUUGAAGUCAUGGCUGGUGGCAGAGACACGGGCGCGUUGACGAAUAAGAAAAAAAAAACGGCAUUCGCCCCGUUCAGCGCGUCGCUUCACUUUCUCCCUGUCUCUCUCAUUUUCCGCUUCUUCUCUCUUGUUCGCUGUGCUGCUGUGGUGUGCUCCACACACACAUCUCCCUCCCUUCCACGAUGGACCGAGAAAG